This 1323-nucleotide unclassified non-coding RNA is filed under the name Hevea brasiliensis (rubber tree). The record is from RNAcentral. Lineage: Eukaryota; Viridiplantae; Streptophyta; Magnoliopsida; Malpighiales; Euphorbiaceae.
UUCACCUCCAAUUGGUCUCAUACUAAUUGAGGUUACACAUCUAAAGUUAUUGACUAAAAUGCAUACUGCCCUUAACUACCAUGCUUAAACACACAUCAAUUACACAUGUACCUUACUAUAUGUUCACUUCCCUUACCAUUUCUGUUUUGGUUCAUUACCAAAACCAUAUCCCACUUUACAUUAACAUCACUUUGGGCAGAUUACAAACAUCCUUAAUACACCAAUUAAAGCUCACAUUUACAAAGUCUAAAUACAAUCAUAUACACACCUAAACAUCACUAAUUCUUACACAAUCAAUCUUUACACAUAUCCAUCAAUUCUCAAGGUCAAUAUUCUGCCAAUACCUUCAUAAACAUAUACAUUUAUCCAAGAAUCUCAAGGCUGCCAAAAAUUUCCUCAACACCAAAGUAUCCCACAAUUCAUCAAUUUCCAUCCAAGUGCAAAAAUCACUAUAUACAUAUGAAGUAAUUUAUUAGGAUAUUAAAUCAUCAUAACCAACAACAUUUCUCAUCAAAUAUAUGCACAAUUAUUUCAUCAAUUACAUGACUCCAUGGCUGUCCAAAAUGAACAUCUCAAUAACUCUUCAAACUUAAAAAUUUUCUUCACAAAUUCAACACCCAUAACAUGCACACAAAACUUAACAAAGCUAUCUUCAAAAACACUAACUUACCUUAUGGUUGGAGCUUGUUAAACCUUGCUUAAACUUCUCAAAUUUGGUAUCAAACUCUUCCUUGUGAUGUGUAGACAAUUUUUCAUGAAGGAACCUAAGUGAUUGAAGUUGAAAUGGAGGGGUUGAUGGAGCUUGCAUGAAAAUGGAAAUGGAGGUUUUCUCUCCUCCUUCAAUUCGGCUUGGAUGAUAAAUGAAGAAGAUGAAGUUGCUGCUGGAUAUAGUGGACUUACAUCAGCCUCAUUUUGUGUUUAAUUUAUUCCUUUAGUGGCCCACUCACUCCAUUUAAUCAUAUAAUAAGCCUAAAUGUGUUAUUUACACAUUUUUCACUCCAUUUUUGGUUAUUUGUAUUAGGUACCCCCAAUUUAAUUUUUCAUUUUAUUUUCUAAGUGUAAUAUUAUUUAUUUUUAAUGGACAUUUAGGUCAAAAGACAAUUCGGGAUGUCAAAUGACCAUAAUGCCCCUGUUCGGGUUACGUUCCCGAUUUUUCGGUAACACCGUAUUUUGUCUGUUUUUCGAUUUCUCACUUUUCUUUGUACUAAUUAUUUAAUUUUUCUUUGAUCUUUCUAAUGAUAUUUAUUCUUCAACAAGAGUCUAUUUAAGUCCCAAAAAAUAUUUUCCAGGGUUUCCCGUGGUCCAAGGCUAGUCAACGGUCCA